UAGCUCAGUUGGUAGAGCAGUUGGCUUUUAACCAAUUGGUCGAAGGUUCGAAUCCUUC
This 58-nucleotide transfer RNA is filed under the name Shewanella sp. CG_4_10_14_0_8_um_filter_42_13. RNAcentral's name for it is "tRNA-Lys". It matches the Rfam family "tRNA", at positions 8 to 63 of the family's 71-position model. From Rfam's summary of the family: Transfer RNA (tRNA) molecules are approximately 80 nucleotides in length. Their secondary structure includes four short double-helical elements and three loops (D, anti-codon, and T loops). Lineage: Bacteria; Pseudomonadati; Pseudomonadota; Gammaproteobacteria; Alteromonadales; Shewanellaceae. The record is from RNAcentral.